UACGUAGGGUGCAAGCGUUGUCCGGAAUUAUUGGGCGUAAAGAGCUCGUAGGCGGUCUGUCGCGUCUGCUGUGAAAACUCAGGGCUUAACCCUGAGCUUGCAGUGGGUACGGGCAGACUAGAGUGCGGUAGGGGAGACUGGAAUUCCUGGUGUAGCGGUGAAAUGCGCAGAUAUCAGGAGGAACACCGGUGGCGAAGGCGGGUCUCUGGGCCAUAACUGACGCUGGAGGAGCGAAAGCCGUGGGGAGCGAACAGG
Molecule: ribosomal RNA, 255 nt
Filed under: uncultured bacterium
Lineage: Bacteria
Description: partial 16S ribosomal RNA
Rfam family: Bacterial small subunit ribosomal RNA
Source: RNAcentral